CCUACGGGUGGCAGCAGUGGGGAAUAUUGCACAAUGGGGGAAACCCUGAUGCAGCGAAGCCGCGUGAGUGACGAAGUAAUUCGUUAUGUAAAGCUCUAUCAGCAGGGCAGAAAAUGACGGUACCUGCGUAAGAAGCCCCGGCUCACUACGUGCCAGCAGCCUCGGUAAUACGUAGGGGGCCAGCGUUAUCCGGCUUUACUGGGGGUAAAGGGAGCGUAGACGGCAGUGCAAGUCUGGAGUGAAAGGCGGGGGCUCAACCCCCGGACUGCUCUGGAAACUGUACGGCUGGAGUGCAGGAGAGGUAAGUGGAAGGCCUAGUGUAGCGGUGAAAUGCGUAGAGAUUAGGAGGAACACCAGUGGCGAAGGCGGCUUACUGGACUGUAACUGACGUUGAGGCUCGAAAGCGUGGGGAGCAAACAGGAUUAGAUACCCCUGUAGUC
RNAcentral lists this ribosomal RNA (440 nucleotides) under uncultured bacterium. RNAcentral describes it as "partial 16S ribosomal RNA". It matches the Rfam family "Bacterial small subunit ribosomal RNA", at positions 338 to 795 of the family's 1533-position model. The record is from RNAcentral.